Molecule: ribosomal RNA, 947 nt
Filed under: Symphurus plagiusa (blackcheek tonguefish)
Lineage: Eukaryota; Metazoa; Chordata; Actinopteri; Pleuronectiformes; Cynoglossidae
Also listed under: 1 other name
Description: 12S ribosomal RNA
Rfam family: Bacterial small subunit ribosomal RNA
Source: RNAcentral
CAAAAGCUUGAUCCUGGCUUUAACAUCAGCUAAGACUAAAUUUAUACAUGCAAGCCUCCGCAACCCAGUGCGAAUGCCCUCUAUCCUCUUAUUGAAGCCGAGGGGCAGGUAUCAGGCACUAAGCUGAUUAAAAACUCUUAUGCCCAAGACACCUUGCUAAGGCCACACCCCCACGGGUUCUCAGCAGUAAUUAACCUUAAACUAUAAGUGCAAGCUUGAUUUAGUUAAUGUCUUCGAGAGUUGGUAAAACUCGUGCCAGCCACCGCGGUUAGACGAGCAGCUCAAGUUGAUGAAAUGCGGCGUAAGGCGUGGUUAGGAGAAAACUACAAGUAAAGUCAAACGCUUUCAAGGCCGUUAAAGGCGCCCGAAAAGUUGAAGCCCGAUUACAAAAGUAACUUUAUUACCCCCGACCCCACGAAAGCUGGUGAAACAAACUGGGAUUAGAUACCCCACUAUGCCCAGCCGUAAACCAAGAUACCGCUCCCACCAAGGUAUCCGCCGGGUUAUUACGAACAUUAGUCUAAAAGCCAAAGGAAUUGGCGGUGCUUUAUAUCCCUCUAGAGGAGCCUGUCCUGUAAUCGACACUACCCGUUAAACCUCACCCCCUCUUGCCUUUAACCGCUUAUAUACCACCGUCGUAAGCCCACCCUUUGAGGGACAUGAAGUAGGCUCAAUUGGCAUAGCCCAGUAAGUCAGGUCAAGGUGUAGCAUAUGAGGGGGGAACAGAUGGGCUACAUUUACUGUAAAAGUACACACGGAGGGUGUAUUGAAAUAUACACACUGAAGGAGGAUUUAGAAGUAAGCCGGGAAUAGAGAGCCUAGCUGAAUAUGGCCCUAAAGCACGCACACACCGCCCGUCACUCUCCCCAGGUCUCUCCCCUGAGACCUGCCCUUUCGGGGAGAGAAGUCGUAACAUGGUAAGUGCACCGGAAGGUGCACUUGGCUUA